Molecule: ribosomal RNA, 465 nt
Filed under: Vreelandella stevensii
Lineage: Bacteria; Pseudomonadati; Pseudomonadota; Gammaproteobacteria; Oceanospirillales; Halomonadaceae
Description: partial 16S ribosomal RNA
Rfam family: Bacterial small subunit ribosomal RNA
Source: RNAcentral
CCUACGGGAGGCUGCAGUGGGGAAUAUUGGACAAUGGGGGGAACCCUGAUCCAGCCAUGCCGCGUGUGUGAAGAAGGCCCUCGGGUGGUAAAGCACUUUCAGUGAGGAAGAACGCCUGGUGGUUAAUACCCAUCAGGAAAGACAUCACUCACAGAAGAAGCACCGGCUAACUCCGUGCCAGCAGCCGCGGUAAUACGGAGGGUGCGAGCGUUAAUCGGAAUUACUGGGCGUAAAGCGCGCGUAGGUGGCUUGAUAAGCCGGUUGUGAAAGCCCCGGGCUCAACCUGGGAACGGCAUCCGGAACUGUCAAGCUAGAGUGCAGGAGAGGAAGGUAGAAUUCCCGGUGUAGCGGUGAAAUGCGUAGAGAUCGGGAGGAAUACCAGUGGCGAAGGCGGCCUUCUGGACUGACACUGACACUGAGGUGCGAAAGCGUGGGUAGCAAACAGGAUUAGCUACCCGUGUAGUC